Pelobates cultripes (western spadefoot toad) is the source of this 1213-nucleotide non-coding RNA. The record is from the annotation of a GenBank genome assembly. NCBI's taxonomy places the organism in Eukaryota, Metazoa, Chordata, Amphibia, Anura, Pelobatidae.
CUUUGGGUUUUUGGGUUCCGGGGGGAGUAUGGUUGCAAAGCUGAAACUUAAAGGAAUUGAUGGAAGGGUACCACCAGGAGUGGACCCUGUGGCUUAAUUUGACUCAAAACUGGAAAUCUCACUUUAAAGAGAGAGUACAAGAGGGCAUGAAAUGGUUAAGAGGUAAACGGGUCAGUGUCGUCCUCCCAGAGGAUUCAACCUGACGGGCCCAGGCCGGCCAAUGCUGGCACCCGCAGAUACGUCCGCCCUCCUGUCCCCCCUCUUGACCCCGGGUUAAGGUGCCCGAUUCCGACGCUCAUCAGACCCCAGAAAAGGUGUUGGUUGAUAUAGACACCAGGACAGUGGUCAUGAAAGUCGGAAUCCGCUAAGGAGUGUGUAACAAUUCACCUGCAAAUCAACUAGCCCUGAAAAUGGAUGGUGCUGGAACAUCGGGCCCAUACCCAGCCAUCAUCGACUGGGUAUGAAAGUCCAUGGGAGCUAGGCCGGGAUGGCUCUCCUACUCUGGGUGCAGAAGUCCGAGUGGAGCCACCGCAGGGGCAGAUUUUGGUGGUAGUAGAAAAUAUUCAAACGAGAACUAUGAAGGCCGAAGUGGAGAACUGCCAAGUAAACAGCAAUUGAACAUGGGUCAGUCAAUCCUAAGAGAUAGGCGAGCGUAGUUCGGAAGGGACGGAUGAUGGCCACCAUUACUCUCGACUGAUUGAAAGACAGUCGGGUUCAGAUUCCUAGACUCGGAGCAGUGGAGACGGACGCCCUCAUGGACGUCCAGUGCGGUAACAUGACCGAUCCAGGAGAAGCUGGUGGGAGCCCCGGGGAGAGAUCUCUUUUCUUUGUGAAGGGCAGGGUACCCUGGAAUGGGUUCGCCCCGAGAGAGAGGCCAGCAUCUUGGAAAGCAUCGCUGUUCUGGGAACGUCCGGUGAGCUCUCGCCAGCCCUUGAAAAUCCAUGGGAUAAGGUGUAAAUCAGGCACAGGCCGUUCCCAUAUCCGCAGUAGGUCUUCAAGGUGAACAGCCUCUGGCGUGUUAGAAAAAUGUAGGUAAGGGAAGUCAGCAGGUCAGAUCCAUAAAUUUGGCAAAAGGAUUGGCUUUUAGGACUGAGUUGGUUGGGCUGAGGCACAAAGCGGGGCUGUCGCUCUCUUCUCCCCUCUUUUGGAGGUGGAGGGGACCUGACCGGCACCCAGAGUUUGCUGUUUCCAAGUUGGAAGAUAGAACCAAGUC